GACGAACGCUGGCGGCGUGCUUAACACAUGCAAGUCGAACGGGAACCUUUAUUUCGGUAAAGGUGAGAGUGGCAAACGGGUGAGUAACACGUAGGCAACCUGCCGACAGGAUGGGGACAACAUUCCGAAAGGAAUGCUAAUACCGAAUGGAGUCCGGGGAUGGCAUCAUCCUCGGAUAAAAGAUGGCCUCUGAAUAUGCUAUCGCCUGUCGAUGGGCCUGCGUCUGAUUAGCCAGUUGGCGGGGUAACGGCCCACCAAAGCGACGAUCAGUAGCCGGUCUGAGAGGAUGAACGGCCACAUUGGGACUGAGACACGGCCCAGACUCCUACGGGAGGCAGCAGUGGGGAAUCUUCCACAAUGGGCGAAAGCCUGAUGGAGCAACGCCGCGUGAGUGAAGAAGGUCUCCGGAUCGUAAAGCUCUGUUGCACGGGACGAAAACCGGGUUUGAGAAUAUUGAACCCGGGUGACGC
This 470-nucleotide ribosomal RNA is filed under the name Selenomonas sp. oral taxon 134. RNAcentral's name for it is "bacterial SSU rRNA". It matches the Rfam family "Bacterial small subunit ribosomal RNA", at positions 28 to 475 of the family's 1533-position model. The record is from RNAcentral. Lineage: Bacteria; Bacillati; Bacillota; Negativicutes; Selenomonadales; Selenomonadaceae.